GGGGUUGUGGCUCAGUGGUGGAGCACUUGCCUAGCACGCGUGAAGCACUGAGUUCAAUUCUCAGCACCACA
RNAcentral lists this transfer RNA (71 nucleotides) under Marmota monax (woodchuck). RNAcentral's name for it is "tRNA.Ala". It matches the Rfam family "tRNA". From Rfam's summary of the family: Transfer RNA (tRNA) molecules are approximately 80 nucleotides in length. Their secondary structure includes four short double-helical elements and three loops (D, anti-codon, and T loops). Further hydrogen bonds mediate the characteristic L-shaped molecular structure. tRNAs have two regions of fundamental functional importance: the anti-codon, which is responsible for specific mRNA codon recognition, and the 3' end, to which the tRNAs corresponding amino acid is attached (by aminoacyl-tRNA synthetases). tRNAs cope with the degeneracy of the genetic code in two manners: having more than one tRNA (with a specific anti-codon) for a particular amino acid; and 'wobble' base-pairing, i.e. permitting non-standard base-pairing at the 3rd anti-codon position. The record is from RNAcentral. Lineage: Eukaryota; Metazoa; Chordata; Mammalia; Rodentia; Sciuridae.